UACGUAGGGUGCAAGCGUUAAUCGGAAUUACUGGGCGUAAAGCGUGCGCAGGCGGUUAUGUAAGACAGGUGUGAAAUCCCCGGGCUUAACCUGGGAACUGCAUUUGUGACUGCAUAGCUAGAGUACGGUAGAGGGGGAUGGAAUUCCGCGUGUAGCAGUGAAAUGCGUAGAUAUGCGGAGGAACACCGAUGGCGAAGGCAAUCCCCUGGACCUGUACUGACGCUCAUGCAC
Molecule: ribosomal RNA, 231 nt
Filed under: uncultured bacterium
Lineage: Bacteria
Description: partial 16S ribosomal RNA
Rfam family: Bacterial small subunit ribosomal RNA
Source: RNAcentral